GGGCAGAUGGUCGAGUGGUUAAGACGGCAGACUUAAGUUUAACUAGAUCUCUGCUGGCGAAAGCUGUCGUGGGUUCGAACCCCACUCUGCUCA
This 93-nucleotide transfer RNA is filed under the name Leucosporidium creatinivorum. RNAcentral's name for it is "Leucosporidiella creatinivora tRNA". It matches the Rfam family "tRNA". From Rfam's summary of the family: Transfer RNA (tRNA) molecules are approximately 80 nucleotides in length. The record is from Rfam by way of RNAcentral. Lineage: Eukaryota; Fungi; Basidiomycota; Microbotryomycetes; Leucosporidiales; Leucosporidiaceae.